AGUGAACGCUGGCGGUAGGCCUAACACAUGCAAGUCGAACGGCAGCACAGUAAGAGCUUGCUCUUACGGGUGGCGAGUGGCGGACGGGUGAGGAAUACAUCGGAAUCUACUUUUUCGUGGGGGAUAACGUAGGGAAACUUACGCUAAUACCGCAUACGACCUACGGGUGAAAGCAGGGGAUCUUCGGACCUUGCGCGAUUGAAUAAGCCGAUGUCGGCUUAGCUAGUUGGCGGGUUAAAGGCCCACCAAGGCGACGAUCCGUAGCGGGUCUGAGAGGAUGAUUAGCCACACUGGAACUGAGAAACGGGCCAGACUCCUACGGGAGGAAGCAGUGGGGAAUAUUGGACGAUGGGCGCAAGCCUGAUACAGCCAUACCGCGUGGGUGAAGAAGGCCUUCGGGUUGUAAAGCCCUUUUGUUGGGAAAGAAAAGCAGCAGGUUAAUACCCCGCUGUUCUGACGGUACCCAAAGAAUAAGCACCGGCUAACUUCGUG
This 492-nucleotide ribosomal RNA is filed under the name uncultured bacterium. Its description in RNAcentral is "partial 16S ribosomal RNA". It matches the Rfam family "Bacterial small subunit ribosomal RNA", at positions 29 to 507 of the family's 1533-position model. The record is from RNAcentral.